CUCCUGGCUGGACAGGGAUUGGAUGACGACGUUCAAACCGGCCAAAAUGGUGUAGGCCUGGGCCAAGAAGUUACCGUUGCCCAGAAGUUCGUUCAUAUCG
This is a long non-coding RNA of Daphnia pulicaria, 100 nucleotides long. RefSeq lists it as uncharacterized. The record is from RefSeq and is a predicted model, not a curated record. The transcript has 4 exons. NCBI's taxonomy places the organism in Eukaryota, Metazoa, Arthropoda, Branchiopoda, Diplostraca, Daphniidae.